RNAcentral lists this ribosomal RNA (484 nucleotides) under uncultured bacterium. RNAcentral's name for it is "partial 16S ribosomal RNA". It matches the Rfam family "Bacterial small subunit ribosomal RNA", at positions 30 to 507 of the family's 1533-position model. The record is from RNAcentral.
AUUGAACGCUGGCGGCAGGCCUAACACAUGCAAGUCGAGCGGAUGAAGGGAGCUUGCUCCUGGAUUCAGCGGCGGACGGGUGAGUAAUGCCUAGGAAUCUGCCUGGUAGUGGGGGAUAACGUCCGGAAACGGGCGCUAAUACCGCAUACGUCCUGAGGGAGAAAGUGGGGGAUCUUCGGACCUCACGCUAUCAGAUGAGCCUAGGUCGGAUUAGCUAGUUGGUGGGGUAAAGGCCUACCAAGGCGACGAUCCGUAACUGGUCUGAGAGGAUGAUCAGUCACACUGGAGCUGAGACACGGUCCUGACUCCUACGGGAGGCAGCAGUGGGGAAUAUUGGACGAUGGGCGAAAGCCUGAUUCAGCCAUGCCGCGUGUGUGAAGAAGGUCUUCGGAUUGUAAAGCGCUUUAAGUUGGGAGGAAGGGCAGUAAGUUAAUACCUUGCUGUUUUGACGUUACCAACAGAAUAAGCACCGGCUAACUUCGUG